Molecule: ribosomal RNA, 375 nt
Filed under: uncultured organism
Description: partial 16S ribosomal RNA
Rfam family: Bacterial small subunit ribosomal RNA
Source: RNAcentral
GUAGGUGGCAAGCGUUGUCCGGGAAUUAUUGGGCGUAAAGCGCGCGCAGGCGGUUCCUUAAGGUCUGAUGUGAAAGCCCACGGGCUCAACCGUGGAGGGUCAUUGGAAACUGGAGAACUUGAGUACAGAAGAGGAAAGCGGAAUUCCACGUGUAGCGGUGAAAUGCGUAGAGAUGUGGAGGAACACCAGUGGCGAAGGCGGCUUUCUGGUCUGUAACUGACGCUGAGGCGCGAAAGCGUGGGGAGCAAACAGGAUUAGAUACCCUGGUAGUCCACGCCGUAAACGAUGAGUGCUAAGUGUUAGGGGGUUUCCGCCCCUUAGUGCUGCAGCUAACGCAUUAAGCACUCCGCCUGGGGAGUACGGCCGCAAAGGCUG